This 253-nucleotide ribosomal RNA is filed under the name uncultured bacterium. Its description in RNAcentral is "partial 16S ribosomal RNA". It matches the Rfam family "Bacterial small subunit ribosomal RNA", at positions 524 to 776 of the family's 1533-position model. The record is from RNAcentral.
UACGGAGGGUGCAAGCGUUAUCCGGAUUCACUGGGCUUAAAGGGUGCGUAGGUGGGCAGGUAAGUCAGUGGUGAAAUCUCCGGGCUUAACUCGGAAACUGCCGUUGAUACUAUCUGUCUUGAAUAUCGUGGAGGUUAGCGGAAUAUGUCAUGUAGCGGUGAAAUGCUUAGAUAUGACAUAGAACACCCAUUGCGAAGGCAGCUAACUACACGAUCAUUGACACUGAGGCACGAAAGCGUGGGGAGCAAACAGG